UUGCUAUUGCUUCUUGAGCUCUGGAUUGCAGUUCUUUGAUUCCAACUAUUAUUAUUCCAGUCCAUUCCAGUGUAAUCUGAUUCAACAAGCACUAAGAUUUUUUUUGUAGGUCUUUUGCAUAGUUCUUCUGCAAGACGAAUCAUGAAUGAAGCGAACAGUAUAAUGAGUAAGGAUUUGGGAUUUCAACAGAUCCAGUGCAUUUCUUUUUUGAAUAGUUCACUCCUUUUUCUUGUGUGUCUGCUUGUGUGCUAGAAUGAAAUGUACCACCCUCUGUUCCAAAUAAUAAAAUUAUCAGCAGCCAUCUACCAAAGAUUAUUGCACAUGACAGGUUCCUGACUCAGUUGCACUGAGUAGUCACACAGUGCAGCUGAGAGGAAUAGAGACAAAGAUGACUCUAAAGCCUGCUCCUUUGAUCCUGGGCCAGCCAAAUUAAAAACCUGGACCACUGAACAUUCUCCAAGAACUGCAAUACCUGACUACCCAUUACAAAAGUACAUUUUUUCUGAUAUAUCUUUUAAUGAUGCUAAAGAGAAGAAAAUUAUUUCUUCUAUACUGUCAAGUAUUCUAAUAUAAUAAAAGUCUUAAUCUGUC
Molecule: long non-coding RNA, 591 nt
Organism: Alligator mississippiensis (American alligator)
Lineage: Eukaryota; Metazoa; Chordata; Crocodylia; Alligatoridae
Exons: 2
Source: RefSeq, a predicted model, not a curated record